This 151-nucleotide small nuclear RNA is filed under the name Corchorus olitorius. RNAcentral's name for it is "U4 spliceosomal RNA". It matches the Rfam family "U4 spliceosomal RNA". From Rfam's summary of the family: U4 small nuclear RNA (U4 snRNA) is a component of the major U2-dependent spliceosome. The structure of U4 snRNA from yeast and human has been reported. The record is from Rfam by way of RNAcentral. Lineage: Eukaryota; Viridiplantae; Streptophyta; Magnoliopsida; Malvales; Malvaceae.
AUCUUUGCGCUUGGGGCAAUGACGCAGCUCAUGAGGUUCUAACCGAGGCGCGUCUAUUGCUGGUUGAAAACUAUUUCCAAACCCCCUCGUAGGCCUGGGCUCGACCCUGGCCUUCGAGAAUUUCUGGAAGGGCUCCCUUCGGGGUAAAGCC